CGAUAGGGCUGUACAGGCAUGGGGGUAGGUAUAAAAGGCGGAGACGUAUGAGGUGGGCCCCCCAUAAAUGGCCUAGCUGGACCUCUCUGUGGCUGCAUGCGUGCAUCCCUAUUCCCCCAACUUCUUCUGUUUUCUACUCUGUUUUGUUUAUGCCUUUUUCUUCAUCAAACAAUCCCAAAAAUUCUCAGAAACAAAAUAAGAAAAUUAUAGCAUAUGGCAAGUUGUAACAUGGCUUCUGCUGCAUCAAGGUUUUUGGUGGCAACUCCUAAUGUUGCCUCCAACACCACUUCUCGUACUAAUAUGUUAUUUUUUCCCUCCAACAAGAUCACCACCACCCAGAGACUCGUCGUAAGGGCGGCCGCAGAAGAGGCUGCCGCACCAGCCGCGGCCGCUACUGCUGAACCAGCCGUUGAAACCAAAGCUGCUAAGCCACCUCCAAUUGGACCCAAGAGGGGAUCCAAGGUGAGAGUUCUUAGGAAGGAAUCUUACUGGUACAAGGGCACCGGUUCAGUUGUAGCUGUUGAUCAGGAUCCAAAAACUCGUUACCCAGUUGUUGUACGAUUUAACAAAGUGAAUUAUGCUAAUGUUUCAACCAACAACUAUGCAUUGGAUGAAAUUGAAGAAGUGUGAAAUGAGAACGUAUGCCCUCAAUUGGAAUAAGUAUAUUAUUUGUAGAAUGCAAGGCCCUUUGUUUUUUUCAUGUUUAUUCUCUAGUUAUAUACAGGCUUUGAAUGUGAAUGAGUGUCUUAUUAUAUUUUUUGUGGCAUUACUCAAACUCUAUUCUUUCUAAUAAGAUGCGGAGACGAAUUCAAAA
RNAcentral lists this unclassified non-coding RNA (814 nucleotides) under Hevea brasiliensis (rubber tree). Lineage: Eukaryota; Viridiplantae; Streptophyta; Magnoliopsida; Malpighiales; Euphorbiaceae. The record is from RNAcentral.